CAGUAGCCGCGGUAAUACGUAGGGUGCAAGCGUUAAUCGGAAUUACUGGGCGUAAAGCGCACGCAGGCGGUUUGUUAAGUCAGAUGUGAAAUCCCCGAGCUUAACUUGGGAACUGCAUUCGAAACUGGCAAGCUAGAGUCUUGUAGAGGGGGGUAGAAUUCCAGGUGUAGCGGUGAGAUGCGUAGAGAUCUGGAGGAAUACCGGUGGCGAAGGCGGCCACCUGGACAAAGACUGACGCUCAGGUGCGAAAGCGUGGGGAGCAAACAGGAUUAGAUACCCCAGUAGUCCCUGUCUCUUAUAA
RNAcentral lists this ribosomal RNA (301 nucleotides) under uncultured bacterium. Its description in RNAcentral is "partial 16S ribosomal RNA". It matches the Rfam family "Bacterial small subunit ribosomal RNA", at positions 509 to 809 of the family's 1533-position model. The record is from RNAcentral.